UGGGAUGUAGCUCAGUUGGUAGAGCGCUUGCCUUGCAUGCAGAAGACCCCGGGUUCAAUUCCCAGCACCACAC
RNAcentral lists this transfer RNA (73 nucleotides) under Ictidomys tridecemlineatus (thirteen-lined ground squirrel). RNAcentral's name for it is "Spermophilus tridecemlineatus (thirteen-lined ground squirrel) tRNA". It matches the Rfam family "tRNA". From Rfam's summary of the family: Transfer RNA (tRNA) molecules are approximately 80 nucleotides in length. Their secondary structure includes four short double-helical elements and three loops (D, anti-codon, and T loops). Lineage: Eukaryota; Metazoa; Chordata; Mammalia; Rodentia; Sciuridae. RNAcentral also lists the same sequence under 1 other name. The record is from Rfam by way of RNAcentral.